Long non-coding RNA from Dama dama (fallow deer), 1545 nucleotides. RefSeq lists it as uncharacterized. The record is from RefSeq and is a predicted model, not a curated record. The transcript is spliced from 3 exons. Lineage: Eukaryota; Metazoa; Chordata; Mammalia; Artiodactyla; Cervidae.
UGGAGAGUCCCCUUCAAAAUCUCCACCAGCAUCGAAGUUUUUGCUGCAAGACAAAGACUGGUUUCCUGUCUACGGUCCUUAUCAAUGUCUUCUCUUUCUGGAACAUGUGAAUCGGUUGCAGAAAUGUGUGUCAGCAGCGAACUAAGCCUCCAAGCUUCAAGGAGGUUUCUUACAAAAGUCGUCUGGAGCGGCUUUCUUGCUCAGUCCUGCCGAGAUUUUAAAAUUGUGCAACAAAAUAUAUUCUCCAGUUGACGGUGUGUACAUCAUGGCUCUCCAGUGGGAGAUUCUGCCUAUAAGGGAAUCUGGGGUCCUCCUGUGGCUCAGCUGGCAAAGAAUCCACCUGUAAUACAAGAGACCUGGGUUUGACCCCUGGACUGGGAAGAUCCCCCGGAGAAGGGAACAGCUACCCACUUCAGUAUUCUGGCCUGGAGAAUUCCAUGGAUUGUAUAGUCCAUGGGGUCACAAAGAGUCACACACGACUGAGAUACUUUCACAUAUAAGGGAUAUCAUAUGAUAGCUCUCUUUCUCUGUCUGACUUACUUCACCCAGUAUCCAACAUAUGAGUUUGGGGAGGACAAAAUUUAGUCCUCUUUUCAUCCCUGAGAACCUCCCCUUGGGACCUGACAUGAUGGAAGUUUUUUGUUAGUUGAUUUUGUGAAUAUGAUUCAGUCUGGUUUUGAGUCUACAUUAAAGGUGCUUCUAUAUAGGAAAACCUCCAUCGAUUUGCUUUAGCUUCAAGUCCUUGUACCCAGGAGGAGAAGUCAGGUGUACCAGCAGCAGUUAAUCAUCUUUGUGAUUCUUCUGUAUGGUAAUAAUAAUGGAGGUUUUCUUUUAACAACUGCAUAAGAGAUACCAGGUGCCAUCUUAAGAAGUCAGUAUCUUGAAGCACUUUAUCGUAUCUUUUCAUCUUCUUGAGAACCUAUGAUGGAUGGGGCUGUAUUUAUUUUUACUUCCAUUUUGUAGAUGAGGAAACUCAGGUUACAGAAGCCGAGUGAUUUGCUCAAGAGGACACAACUAGGAAAUGACUCAGUCUGUAUUUGAACUGAGUACAAACUCCAAAGAACUCUUCUGACCACAUUCUUUUGUCCCCCAUUUGGCCAGGACACUUUUACUUCCAGAAACAUCAGUCCACAAUCACCAAGAAUAAUGGUUCAACACAAUCCUUUAGACGAAUCUCUAGCUGAGAAAGAAGCUGAUUCAUUUCGAUUGAGUUCUUGCUUCCAUACAGAUUUAUCUUAUUCAUUUUUGAGGCCAUGGGACACCUUUCUGAAAAGUCACUCAUAACUUAAAAACAUUUGGCUUUUUAUUAGAUGUUUAGAAGUUUCUGGAAAGAUCCACUUCUGAAAAGAAGCAGUGGAGGAUCAGAACAGUGAUGCUUCCUCAUUCUGUAAUUUCUUUUCAUGGCUGUCCUCUCUCAUCUAUGUGGAGGGGACCCUGAGACAGUUUUAUGGCAUUUUUUUAAAAUGAAAAUUUCCCUCACUUUUCAGAAAUGCAAAGGAAAAACGAUCACAGAAAAUGUUUUUCUUUUCUUUCUCAGUUCUGUGU